Molecule: RNA transcript, 1383 nt
Organism: Alosa alosa (allis shad)
Lineage: Eukaryota; Metazoa; Chordata; Actinopteri; Clupeiformes; Clupeidae
Gene name: ras-related protein Rab-31-like
Exons: 8
Source: RefSeq, a predicted model, not a curated record
UCCAACUGGUUUCCGUUAUAUUUGGGAAGAUGGUCAGACAAGUCGCUCAGGGGCUGGGUUUGUCGUUUAAUAGCGAAAUGUCGUUGUAUGCAUAUUUGCACUGAACCAAUAAAACGUUUACAACGCGGACGAAGAAUGCGCCAGUCUUCGCAGAAAGUCUAAAAUGGCCAUAAUAAGGGAACUUAAAGUCUGCCUUCUCGGGGAUACGGGAGUCGGGAAGUCUAGUAUUGUGUGCCGCUUUGUGCAGGACCACUUCGACCAUAACAUAAGUCCAACUAUUGGUGCAUCUUUCCUGACUAAGACUGUCCCAUGUGGGAACGAGCUCCACAAGUUUCUCAUCUGGGAUACGGCUGGCCAGGAGAGGUUCCACUCCCUGGCGCCAAUGUACUACAGAGGAUCCGCAGCCGCAGUCAUCGUUUAUGACAUCACAAAGCUGGACUCGUUCCAGACGCUGAAGAAGUGGGUUAAGGAGCUGAAAGAGCAUGGCCCAGAGAACAUUGUGGUGGCCAUAGCAGGCAACAAGAAUGACCUGGGAGACAUUAGAGAGGUUCCUAUGAAGGAGGCCAAAGACUUUGCCGAGUCCAUCGCGGCCAUCUUCAUCGAGACCAGUGCCCGCAACGCCGUCAACGUGGAGGAGCUCUUCCAGAAGAUCAGUGAGUGUCUUGCCGCGUCCCAUCCACCUCGACAUGCCUUCCUGUCAGAGUACAACAAGCAGAGUCGUCAGAUCCCGCCACUGGAGAACCCAGACUUGGACAGCAACGAGUCCUUUAAACUGACCCGUCAGGCCCCUCCAUCCAGCCGCCGCUGCUGCUAGACACGCGUGCGCGCGCGUGCACACACACACACACACACACACACACACACACUCACACACAUUUAGGUCUACACAUAUACUUUCACAUGUAGAUGCAUGUAUGCAAGUGGAUGCAAACACCCCCCAUACAUGCAGGCAUCCAUCCAUCCACACACACGCAGGCUUUGAGCUACAAGUGCAAAAGCACCUAGCGGUCCCGUCCUUACACAGUGAAAGCACAACAGCCAGGCCUCUCACUGCAGACGACAACCUCAGUUCAGGAGGCGUGCCCUUCACACAUCAGCACAAAACACACACAUAUUUGCACGCACACACACACACGCCCAGACCAGCUUAGUGUUUCAGGCUGCAGCCGCACACCGGAUUCCAGGGAGGACCCACACCAUCUCUGCCCACCUGACUGGAUGCCUCAGUGCCAGCCAAACCAACACUCGCUGCUUCCCAUUCGGCACACAGGACCGACAGAUGCAGGGUCCAGGAAGACUUCCAUAGCACGGUGGAACAGUCUCAUCCCCACCUGCCCACCACCGCACACCCACCCAACAGGAGACACCCAGCGCCAACCCCCA